This is a long non-coding RNA of Hermetia illucens (black soldier fly), 682 nucleotides long. RefSeq lists it as uncharacterized. The record is from RefSeq and is a predicted model, not a curated record. NCBI's taxonomy places the organism in Eukaryota, Metazoa, Arthropoda, Insecta, Diptera, Stratiomyidae. The transcript is spliced from 3 exons.
UGAGCUCAGUAGGGUAUCGUUUGAAUACGUAAAAUUUAUCUAUUGUAUAUUCUCGAUCAUUAUAGCAUAUGCUACCUUCAUUUGUUUCGCUUUACUUCAGAGCUUUUUUAAAUUAAAAUUAUUUAGAACAUUUUUGAGUUUUCUUUUUGCCUCUUCCAAGUUGCAGAAACAGGGCCCUUUUCCAGUCUUAUCCACCCUAUCGUACUUCUGGCCUUUAUUUGUCUGUUCUCAAGGGGAUUUUUAAGAUUUCUGCAUAGCAGAUUCUUCCCGCGGGUCGUCACAUAUCUAGAUAUUCAAAACAAUGAGCUGAUGUAUAUUUUUGGUGACCCCUAUACAUUGCAGAAAUUUUAUCAAGUACGGGUGAAUGAAUGCAGUUAGUCCCAAAGCUGAUAUAUGAUCCUCAUAUUUAAUAAAACCAACAACCUCAAUUCCUAGAUUGGAUGUGUUUGAUAAGCACUGUAAUGAUAGUGACAAUAAUUUAAAUCACGCUGACUAUAAUAUAUAAUACAUUAUAAAGAAGCUUCGACAGCCUCAUCAAGGAAUGUAUGUGGAGUGUUCUAUGCAGAGCGACAUAUGGUGGCUCAAAAUUUGAAGUCGAAAGCGGAGUCUGCCUGCGUCGCAUUCUGUCAUCGAUAAUUUAUUUUCUUGGUUCGAAGGCAAGGAAGACAGGCAAACGCUCAUU